This 60-nucleotide microRNA precursor is filed under the name Petromyzon marinus (sea lamprey). RNAcentral describes it as "Pma-Mir-216-P2a2_pre stem-loop". Lineage: Eukaryota; Metazoa; Chordata; Hyperoartia; Petromyzontiformes; Petromyzontidae. The record is from RNAcentral.
AAAUCUCUGCAGGCAACUGUGAUGCAGACUCGGACACACGUUGGCCUGGAGAGGUUCCAC